UACAGAGGUGGCAAGCGUUGUUCGGAAUUACUGGGCGUAAAGGGCGCGUAGGCGGCCUGUUAAGUCGAACGUGAAAUCCCCGGGCUCAACCCGGGAACUGCGUCCGAUACUGGCAGGCUUGAAUUCGGGAGAGGGAUGUGGAAUUCCAGGUGUAGCGGUGAAAUGCGUAGAUAUCUGGAGGAACACCGGUGGCGAAGGCGGCAUCCUGGACCGAUAUUGACGCUGAUGCGCGAAAGCCAGGGGAGCAAACGGG
Molecule: ribosomal RNA, 253 nt
Filed under: uncultured bacterium
Lineage: Bacteria
Description: partial 16S ribosomal RNA
Rfam family: Bacterial small subunit ribosomal RNA
Source: RNAcentral